RNAcentral lists this ribosomal RNA (445 nucleotides) under uncultured bacterium. RNAcentral's name for it is "partial 16S ribosomal RNA". It matches the Rfam family "Bacterial small subunit ribosomal RNA", at positions 354 to 796 of the family's 1533-position model. The record is from RNAcentral.
GUGAGGAAUAUUGGUCAAUGGGCGAGAGCCUGAACCAGCCAAGUCGCGUGAAGGAAGAAGGAUCUAUGGUUCGUAAACUUCUUUUGCAGGAGAAUAAAGUGCAGGACGUGUCCUGUUUUGUAUGUACCCUGAGAAUAAGGAUCGGCUAACUCCGUGCCAGCAGCCGCGGUAAUACGGAGGAUCCGAGCGUUAUCCGGAGUUAUUGGGUUUAAAGGGUGCGUAGGUGGUUUGAUAAGUCAGCGGUGAAAGUUUGCAGCUUAACUGUAAAAAUGCCGUUGAAACUGUCGGACUUGAGUGUAAAUGAGGUAGGCGGAAUGCGUGGUGUAGCGGUGAAAUGCAUAGAUAUCACGCAGAACUCCGAUUGCGAAGGCAGCUUACUAAGCUACAACUGACACUGAAGCACGAAAGCGUGGGGAUCAAACAGGAUUAGAAACCCUGGUAGUCC